GAGAACACUGUUUCCGCGCCUAAUACAUGCAAGUCUAGCGAGCUGACUAAGAGCUUUUGCCUGCGAGAUGAGAAGCAAACUGGUGACUGACACGGGGUUAACCGGCCUGUAACGCGGGGAUAACUUCGCGAAACCAUGGCUAAUACCGCGUAACACAUGGGACCGCCUGGCACAAGAGUGAAAGACGGUUUUGCUGCUCCACCAAGAGGCCCCCGUUUCUCUUUGGUUGGUUCGGGAGGUAGCGCCUCCCCAAGGCAGGAAUGCGUACCCAACGGGAGGGGGUGAUCGGCCACUUGGGACCUAAACCCCGCCCCAGACCCCUAAGGCAGGCCUCAAUCCGAUUCCUCGGGCAAGGAGGGAAAUCUUACCAAACCACCCCCGCGUGAAUGAUGAAGGUCUCCGGACAGAAAAACUCUGGUUUUAAGCAAAAACACCUGUGUGAUGAACUAUGCACGCUGUGACCGUACCUUAUCAGAUAGGCGACGCUAACUACGUAGCCCCCGCCGGCGAUAUUACUAGGUGCGCGGGCUUAUCCAGAGUUGUGAGGCGCCAGCCCACCUCGGCGGUUAGAUAGUCUGAAGUUAAGGCUGUGGCUUAACCAUAUUACGCUUUGGAAACUGUUUAACUUGAGUGCAAGAGGGGAGAGAGGAAUUCCAUGUGUAGCGGUGAAAUGCGUAGAUAUAUGGAGGAACACCGGUGGCGAAAGCGGCUCUCUGGCUUGUAACUGACGCUGAGGCUCGAAAGCGUGGGGAGCAUACAGGAUUAGAUACCCUGGUAGUCCACGCCGUAAACGAUGAGUGCUAGGUGUUAGACCCUUUCCGGGGUUUAGUGCCGUAGCUAACGCAUUAAGCACUCCGCCUGGGGAGUACGACCGCAAGGUUGAAACUCAAAGGAAUUGACGGGGGCCCGCACAAGCGGUGGAGCAUGUGGUUUAAUUCGAAGCAACGCGAAGAACCUUACCAGGUCUUGACAUCCCUCUGACCGCUCUAGAGAUAGAGUUUUCCUUCGGGACAGAGGUGACAGGUGGUGCAUGGUUGUCGUCAGCUCGUGUCGUGAGAUGUUGGGUUAAGUCCCGCAACGAGCGCAACCCCUAUUGUUAGUUGCCAUCAUUCAGUUGGGCACUCUAGCGAGACUGCCGGUAAUAAACCGGAGGAAGGUGGGGAUGACGUCAAAUCAUCAUGCCCCUUAUGACCUGNGCUACACACGUGCUACAAUGGCUGGUACAACGAGUCGCAAGCCGGUGACGGCAAGCUAAUCUCUUAAAGCCAGUCUCAGUUCGGAUUGUAGGCUGCAACUCGCCUACAUGAAGUCGGAAUCGCUAGUAAUCGCGGAUCAGCACGCCGCGGUGAAUACGUUCCCGGGCCU
Molecule: ribosomal RNA, 1365 nt
Filed under: uncultured bacterium
Lineage: Bacteria
Description: partial 16S ribosomal RNA
Rfam family: Bacterial small subunit ribosomal RNA
Source: RNAcentral